RNAcentral lists this small nuclear RNA (191 nucleotides) under Echinops telfairi (small Madagascar hedgehog). RNAcentral describes it as "U2 spliceosomal RNA (ENSETEG00000020619.1)". It matches the Rfam family "U2 spliceosomal RNA". From Rfam's summary of the family: U2 is a small nuclear RNA (snRNA) component of the spliceosome (involved in pre-mRNA splicing). The record is from RNAcentral. Lineage: Eukaryota; Metazoa; Chordata; Mammalia; Afrosoricida; Tenrecidae.
AUCGCUUCUCAGCCUUUUGGCUAAGAUCAAAUGUAGUAUCUGUUCUUAUCAGUUUAAUAUCUGAUACGUCCUCUAUCCUAGGACAACAUAUUAGAUGUAUUUUUGUAAGUAGGAGUUGGACUAGGAGCCUGCUCCAUCCACUCCAUGCAUCAGCCUGGUAUUGCAGUACUUCCAGGAAUGGUGCAGCGCCU